GCUCCUACCGAUUGAAUGAUCCGGUGAGGCCCCCGGACUGGGGCGACGCAUUCGGUUCGCCGGACGCGACGCUCCGGGAAGCUGUCCAAACCUUAUUAUUUAGAGGAAGGAGAAGUCGUAACAAGGUUUCCGUAG
This 135-nucleotide ribosomal RNA is filed under the name Phaeocystis sp. RNAcentral's name for it is "partial small subunit ribosomal RNA". It matches the Rfam family "Eukaryotic small subunit ribosomal RNA", at positions 1678 to 1808 of the family's 1831-position model. The record is from RNAcentral. Lineage: Eukaryota; Haptophyta; Phaeocystales; Phaeocystaceae.